UGAAUCAAGUUUUUUUCUUUUCUUCAUCUGCCUUCUGUUCAUUCAAGCUCACAAUUGGGGGAAGAAAUUUUAGGGUUUGUUAAAGGAGAUGGUCAGAGCUCAGAACGAGGGCAAUGGAUUGGAAUUUAGGGUUCUUCGAUCUCGGUUUUAGGGUUUCGUGUUAACCAGGUAACUUCCUGGUCUGACUCAUUUGUGUUUCAUCAGGAUCCAAUAGGACUCAAGGCGCUUAAUCUAUCUGAAUGAACGAUUGAGGGAGAAAGCUCUUGAAAAGAAACCUAAAAUCUGGGACAUUUUGAAAGCUAAUGCAUCAUUCCAACAAAGCAUUAGUGAAAAAACCAUCCAAUCAGUUGCCAGAAUCAAGCUGAGAUGCAAAUUAGAGAGACAACAUCAAAUGAAAUGACAUCGAGGUUAAAAGUGUGCUUGAUCCUUGUGAGUAUGAUAAUGUGACUUUGGGAGGUGACUCAAUGCAGCAAGAUCGAGAUAUUGAAACUGAUAGUGAGAUAGAGUACCCAAUAUAUUGUGUUAAUCUAUGACUGACCCACUACAUGGAUGCAAGGGUCAAAAGUUUUGAUUCAAUUGUCCAAUACAUAUACAUGACUGACCCACUAUAUGGAUCCAUUUAUUACGGUCAUAAUUUCUCUUUUU
RNAcentral lists this long non-coding RNA (645 nucleotides) under Helianthus annuus (common sunflower). Its description in RNAcentral is "sRNA HanXRQr2_Chr15g0705391". Lineage: Eukaryota; Viridiplantae; Streptophyta; Magnoliopsida; Asterales; Asteraceae. The record is from RNAcentral.